Molecule: transfer RNA, 87 nt
Filed under: Acidimicrobiia bacterium
Lineage: Bacteria; Bacillati; Actinomycetota; Acidimicrobiia
Description: tRNA-Leu
Rfam family: tRNA
About the family: Transfer RNA (tRNA) molecules are approximately 80 nucleotides in length. Their secondary structure includes four short double-helical elements and three loops (D, anti-codon, and T loops).
Source: RNAcentral
GCCCCGGUGGCGGAACUGGCAGACGCACCGGACUUAAAAUCCGAGGCCCUUCGGGGCGUGUGGGUUCAAAUCCCACCCGGGGCACCA